GCGCGAGUGGUGGAAUUGGUAGACACGCAGGUUUUAGGUACCUGUGCCUUCGGGCGUAGGGGUUCAAGUCCCCUCUUGCGCA
Transfer RNA from Arthrobacter sp., 82 nucleotides. It matches the Rfam family "tRNA". Rfam says of the family: Transfer RNA (tRNA) molecules are approximately 80 nucleotides in length. Their secondary structure includes four short double-helical elements and three loops (D, anti-codon, and T loops). Lineage: Bacteria; Bacillati; Actinomycetota; Actinomycetes; Micrococcales; Micrococcaceae. The record is from Rfam.